RNAcentral lists this ribosomal RNA (395 nucleotides) under uncultured bacterium. RNAcentral describes it as "bacterial SSU rRNA". It matches the Rfam family "Bacterial small subunit ribosomal RNA", at positions 362 to 773 of the family's 1533-position model. The record is from RNAcentral.
UAUUGCACAAUGGGGGGAACCCUGAUGCAGCGACGCCGCGUGAGGGAAGAAGGUUUUUGGAUUGUAAACCUCUGUCCUUGGUAAAGAAGCAAGACGGUAGCCAAGGAGGAAGCCACGGCUAACUACGUGCCAGCAGCCGCGGUAAUACGUAGGUGGCAAGCGUUGUCCGGAAUUACUGGGUGUAAAGGGAGCGUAGGCGGUUAUGCAAGUUGAAUGUGAAAUCUAUCGGCUCAACUGAUAGGCUGCGUUCAAAACUGUAUAUCUUGAGUGAAGUAGAGGCAGGCGGAAUUCCUAGUGUAGCGGUGAAAUGCGUAGAGAUAUGGAGGAACACCAGUGGCGAAGGCGGCUUCCUGGUCUGCAACUGACACUGAGGCGCGAAAGCGUGGGGAGCAAAC